Cricetulus griseus (Chinese hamster) is the source of this 111-nucleotide small nuclear RNA. Its record names the gene U2. It matches the Rfam family "U2 spliceosomal RNA". From Rfam's summary of the family: U2 is a small nuclear RNA (snRNA) component of the spliceosome (involved in pre-mRNA splicing). Complementary binding between U2 snRNA (in an area lying towards the 5' end but 3' to hairpin I) and the branchpoint sequence (BPS) of the intron results the bulging out of an unpaired adenosine, on the BPS, which initiates a nucleophilic attack at the intronic 5' splice site, thus starting the first of two transesterification reactions that mediate splicing. NCBI's taxonomy places the organism in Eukaryota, Metazoa, Chordata, Mammalia, Rodentia, Cricetidae. The record is from Ensembl.
GCUCUGAGGCCAAUAUAUUAAAUGGAGUUUUGGAACUAGGAGUUGGAAUAGGAGCUUGCUCCGUCCAUUUCAAUCAUAGACCUGGUAUUGCAGUACCUCCAGGAACGGUGU